AUGCAUCUCUGACAGCCCUGGAGCAGUUAAUGUCUGCUGCUAAGGUUUCCACUAUAGUGCAAGAAAAAGAAGUCUUCGUGCUCUCUGUCUGGUGGCAACCAAGACUGAAUGGGGGAAUACAGGA
This 124-nucleotide small nucleolar RNA is filed under the name Dasypus novemcinctus (nine-banded armadillo). RNAcentral's name for it is "Small nucleolar RNA SNORA31 (ENSDNOG00000030392.1)". It matches the Rfam family "Small nucleolar RNA SNORA31". From Rfam's summary of the family: ACA31 (SNORA31) belongs to the H/ACA class of snoRNAs which are thought to guide the sites of modification of uridines to pseudouridines. Lineage: Eukaryota; Metazoa; Chordata; Mammalia; Cingulata; Dasypodidae. The record is from RNAcentral.